UACAGAGGGUGCGAGCGUUAAUCGGAAUUACUGGGCGUAAAGCGUGCGUAGACGGUUAUUUAAGUCGGAUGUGAAAGCCCCGGGCUCAACCUGGGAAUUGCAUUCGAGACUGAAUAGCUAGGGUACGGUAGAGGGAAGUGGAAUUUCCGGUGUAGCAGUGAAAUGCGUAGAUAUCGGGAGGAAUACCGAUGGCGAAGGCAGGUCUCUGGGCUGACACUGACGCUCAUGCACGAAAGCGUGGGGAGCAAACAGG
Molecule: ribosomal RNA, 253 nt
Filed under: uncultured bacterium
Lineage: Bacteria
Description: partial 16S ribosomal RNA
Rfam family: Bacterial small subunit ribosomal RNA
Source: RNAcentral